GUCGUGGUGGCGGAGUGGUUAACGCGAUAGACUCGAAAUCUAUUUCUUUCGGGAGCAGAGGUUCGAAUCCUCUUCACGACG
RNAcentral lists this transfer RNA (81 nucleotides) under Ophiostoma novo-ulmi subsp. novo-ulmi H327. RNAcentral describes it as "tRNA-Ser (CGA) (tRNA-Ser-CGA-3-1)". It matches the Rfam family "tRNA". From Rfam's summary of the family: Transfer RNA (tRNA) molecules are approximately 80 nucleotides in length. Their secondary structure includes four short double-helical elements and three loops (D, anti-codon, and T loops). RNAcentral also lists the same sequence under 1 other name. The record is from RNAcentral. Lineage: Eukaryota; Fungi; Ascomycota; Sordariomycetes; Ophiostomatales; Ophiostomataceae.